RNAcentral lists this long non-coding RNA (243 nucleotides) under Sorghum bicolor (sorghum). RNAcentral describes it as "long non-coding RNA (SBIC_LNC014475)". The record is from RNAcentral. Lineage: Eukaryota; Viridiplantae; Streptophyta; Magnoliopsida; Poales; Poaceae.
CAUGCAGCAAAAGGGCAGCCAUAUAUUCCCCUCUUUCUCUCCCUCACGCACACCAUCAGCAGGGCGCCUCCUCCUAUUCUCCUCUCUCCCUCACACCACCACCAGAGUAACAGCCCCCUCCAUCUUCCUCUCCCUUCCCCAUGGCAGCAUCUCCAACUUCCUCAGUUGUUCAUCCACCAAAAAUGGAGCCCCCACGCAGCAGCGGUUCCAUUUUGCCGCUGCGUGAUUUACCUCAUCGCCAGU